UUUACUGGCCCGGCCGGUCCUUAUUUCCGACCCGACAAUUGGCGAGCCAGCCAGGAGAUUGAGUCCAGAGGCCGAGAGUUUCUGACCGGGACGGACAGCCUGUAUCUGAGACACGUGGCCACAUAGAAAAGGCAUGAAGGCCGUCCAAAUUCCAAAGUUUCCAGAGAGUAAGUGUUUGCUCGCAGUGAGUGUGCGAUGGCUGUCCUGGGAGGCACACAGCAGGUGAAAUUAAAUGGUAAAGAGCAGAAAAAAGAAAUAUUAGCUGCAAAGGUGGUCAAAGGAGGGAGCUGUGGCAACAACAUAUGUGGUAACAGCAAAACUAAGUAGUUAAAGAUAAAAUAAAAGACGUCAGAUAAGAGAUAGAGAAAGCUUAGAAUGAAGGGAAAAUAUGGAGAAACAGUUUGACCAACAGUUAGAUAAUAUUGACAUACUAUAUAGCCUUUAGUGAAGGAAAAGUAGUCACAGAGACAGAAUAAUGAAAGACCCCAUCCUGUUAGAUAAGGUCUAAAUAGAUAUACCCCCAGAUGAAGAAACGUAUACAGCAAGUGGAAGAAAGAUAUAAGUAAGUGCAGUCAAGGGCCAGUACAGGCAGAAGAAGAAGAAAAAAGAAUUAGGGUCUUUAAAGGGUUGAGUUCAGAUAUAAAGGAGAGAUGGAAAAAGAGAGGCUAAUUAGAUAGGGAGGAGACGAGAGCUAGAUAUGAAUAGAAAGAAUAACAACUCCCAAACAAAGUGAAAAGUUCGUCAUAGCACAGAUCUCAGAAAGACAAAAGAUCUGCCUACAGACCAAGAUACCUGCAGAGCACAACAAACCAUGAGACAUGACGACAGCGAGACAGAGCUACAGUGGACAAGAUGGCAGCUCUGAAGUUUCAUGAAGAAGGCGAGAGAGCAGCUUCAAAAUGGACACAGCAGAAUCUGACUGUGAGGAAGAAAGGGAGGGCCACAAACGAACAGUGAUACAGGAGGCGUUCCACAGAGAGGCGUGCCAACCUGAUGCAUCACAGGCCCAAGCCCACCUCCACUGACGUCAGCAUCUUCCCAACGCUGAGGACAUAGCGAGUCAGACCACAUCUACCAUCUACAGUCGAAUCAUAAAGAGGACAACACCACCUUAAAGACUGUGAACCUAACAGCACAAAGUUUAAAAGGUCAAGAAGGCUUCACUGUGAAAAUGAACUUCAGCCAAAAUGCUCUCACAUGUGACCGAGUGCUGACAGAGACAUCACCAAGGAAGAGCUCUCUGUCUCACCAUGAUCAACAUUACAAAUGGUCAGACUGUCAGAGGCCUUGAAAACUGCAACAUCUACCGAAAAAGAACUGUUUGAAGACCUCACAAGAGUUUGGGAGUAGGAGUGUUGAUAAUUUGUAGGAGAAGAAAAAAUAGAAA
This is a long non-coding RNA of Micropterus salmoides (largemouth bass), 1387 nucleotides long. RefSeq lists it as uncharacterized. NCBI's taxonomy places the organism in Eukaryota, Metazoa, Chordata, Actinopteri, Centrarchiformes, Centrarchidae. The record is from RefSeq and is a predicted model, not a curated record. The transcript is spliced from 2 exons.